CAAAGAUUAAGCCAUGCAUGUCUAAGUACAUACUUUUACAUAGUGAAACCGCGAAUGGCUCAUUAAAUCAGUUAUGGUUCCUUAGAUCGUACAUUACUACUUGGAUAACUGUGGUAAUUCUAGAGCUAAUACAUGCAAAACAGCUCCGACCUCGCGGAAAGAGCGCUUUUAUUAGAACAAGACCAAUCGGGUCGAAAGGCCCGUACCACUGGUGAAUCUGGAUAACUUUGUGCUGAUCGCAUGGCCUCGAGCCGGCGACGUAUCUUUCAAAUGUCUGCCCUAUCAACUUUCGAUGGUACGUGAUAUGCCUACCAUGGUUGUAACGGGUAACGGGGAAUCAGGGUUCGAUUCCGGAGAGGGAGCAUGAGAAACGGCUACCACAUCC
Molecule: ribosomal RNA, 385 nt
Filed under: Anadara transversa
Lineage: Eukaryota; Metazoa; Mollusca; Bivalvia; Arcoida; Arcidae
Description: SSU rRNA
Rfam family: Eukaryotic small subunit ribosomal RNA
Source: RNAcentral